Long non-coding RNA from Papaver somniferum (opium poppy), 823 nucleotides. RefSeq lists it as uncharacterized. The record is from RefSeq and is a predicted model, not a curated record. NCBI's taxonomy places the organism in Eukaryota, Viridiplantae, Streptophyta, Magnoliopsida, Ranunculales, Papaveraceae. The transcript is spliced from 6 exons.
GGAAAAUCACAGGACCCACUUUUGGAAGACAUGAUUAUCUUACAGAGCUUUAUAGCACCAAAAGGUGCAACAGGGAAAGACAUUACACCUGAAAUGUUUGAGUAUGAAAGUGGCAAGGUUGUUGAAGAAUUCCAGUUGAGGAUGAUUUAUGUCCCAGCGGAUCCACUGGUACCUGAAGGAUCUUGGGAAGGAUAUUCUGCUUGGGUUUCUUGUGUAGAGAAUUGGAUUCAAAACCUUUAUGUAGCUGAUGCUCUGCAUGUUCCUCUGCUGCCUAAAAAUUAUGGGGUAUGAUCUUCUGCGAGGGCAUCUGGUGUGGAGAAUGGGAAUGAUCUGCAUGUUCCUCUGCUGCCUAAAAGUUCUGGGGUAGGAUCUUCUACAAGGGCAUCUGGUGUGGAGAAUGGGAAUCAAAAAAAUUAUAUGCUUGAUGAUUUUAGAGAACGAGAAUCUGCUAACUUUGGUCAGUUAUUACUCGCAAUUUCGUCAUCUCUCUCUCUCCUUGAACAAGAGAAAAGUUUUUCUAGCCGGCAGACCCUCACCGCUCAGAUCUGGUCUGUUUUGGGCCGGGUCACUGGCACUAGUGUGCGGCAUCGGAAUCUUCAGAAGCAUCCAAUAAUAUUGGUUUAAAGAGAUUUGAACAAAUCAACUCCUAUUUUGGGAGCACAUGUUUUGGAAGAAGAAGAGGGCCCCGAUGAAGGAAGUUAAUUAAACCAAUACAAACAAGUAAAACAGACUUGUGACUUAUAUACACACUAAUGUUAUGCAAGUAUUUAUUUUAAUGGGCUUAGGAUAUUAAUGUUAUGCAAGUAUUUAUUUUAACUUAUAA